UUAAUAAAAAUAAUUUUAUUAAUGAUAUUUUUAGUAUAUUUUAUAGAAAAGAUAUUUUUAGUUAUAGUAGAUUAGUAUUGUAAAAAAAAUUUGAUAUAGAUUAAAAAUUUUUAUAAGUAAGAUUUAUUUUCUGUACCUCGUGUAUCAGGGUUAAUUAAUUAAAGUUUAUUAAUUUAAAUUUCCCGAUUUUAAGAGAUUUAAUAAAUUAUUUUUUUUAUUGUAAUAAAAAUAUUUAUAAUAAUUUAUUAGUAAUGAAAUGUUAUUCGUUCUUAAAGAUAUCUGGUUUAUUUAGAAAUAAAUUUAAUUUAGUUAAUUUAAUUUUAUUUAUAUAUUUUAAAAAAGGAAUAAAUUUAAUUAAUAAUAUUUAAAGGGAUAAGCUUUUAAAUAAAGAUUUAUAAUAUAUUUGGGUUUAAAUAAAAAAAUAGGUUUAGAGAUAUCUAUUAUUUAUAGUUUGUUAUAAUUAUUUUAUUUUUAUUUAUUAUUUAAUAUGUAUUUAAUUUUUUAUAAGUAAAUAUUAUUUAAUAAUAAAUUAUUAGGUAUAAUGAUUAAAUUAGUAUAUGUAUUAUAUUUAUAUAAUAAGAUAAAUAAGAUUAAUUAAAGGAAUUCGGCAAAAAUUUUAUUCGCCUGUUUAACAAAAACAUGUCCUUUAGAGAUAAUUAAAGGUUUAACCUGCCCACUGAGAAAUUUUAAAUGGCCGCAGUAAAUUGACUGUGCAAAGGUAGCAUAAUCAAUAGUUUUUUAAUUGAAAGCUUGUAUGAAUGGUUGGACGAGAUAAAAUCUGUCUUUAUUUAAUAGAUAAAAUUUAAUAUUUAAGUUAAAAAGCUUAAAUAAAAUUAAAAGACGAGAAGACCCUAUAGAUCUUUAUAAUAAAUUAAUUAUUUAUAUUAAAGAUUAGUUUAUAUUUUAUUUAUGUUAUUAUUAUAUUGGGGUAAUAGAGAGAUUUAAUAAAUUCUUUUUAAAAAUUGACAAUAAUUUUUGAUUUAUUGAUCCAUUAAUUAGUGAUUAAAAGAUUAAGUUACCUUAGGGAUAACAGCGUAAUUUUUUUAGAGAGUUCAUAUCGAUAAAAAAGUUUGCGACCUCGAUGUUGGAUUAAAAAUUAUUCUAGGUGUAGUAGUUUAGAAUUUUGGUCUGUUCGACCAUUAAAUUUUUACAUGAUCUGAGUUCAGACCGGUGUAAGCCAGGUCGGUUUCUAUCUUUAGUUAAUGAUAAUAUUUUAGUACGAAAGGACCGGGUAUUGAAUAUGAAAUAUUUAUAUUUAUUGAAUUAUAUU
Molecule: ribosomal RNA, 1270 nt
Filed under: Rhithrodytes pantaleonii
Lineage: Eukaryota; Metazoa; Arthropoda; Insecta; Coleoptera; Dytiscidae
Description: 16S ribosomal RNA
Rfam family: Archaeal large subunit ribosomal RNA (bases 1026-1184)
Source: RNAcentral